RNAcentral lists this ribosomal RNA (520 nucleotides) under uncultured bacterium. Its description in RNAcentral is "bacterial SSU rRNA". It matches the Rfam family "Bacterial small subunit ribosomal RNA", at positions 29 to 538 of the family's 1533-position model. The record is from RNAcentral.
AUUGAACGCUGGCGGCAUGCUUUACACAUGCAAGUCGAACGGUAACAGGGAGCUUGCUCCGCUGACGAGUGGCGAACGGGUGAGUAAUGCAUCGGAACGUACCCAGUCGUGGGGGAUAACGUAGCGAAAGUUACGCUAAUACCGCAUACGUCCUGAGGGAGAAAGCGGGGGACCGUAAGGCCUCGCGCGAUUGGAGCGGCCGAUGUCGGAUUAGCUAGUUGGUGGGGUAAAGGCCUACCAAGGCGACGAUCCGUAGCGGGUCUGAGAGGAUGAUCCGCCACACUGGGACUGAGACACGGCCCAGACUCCUACGGGAGGCAGCAGUGGGGAAUUUGGACAAUGGGGGCAACCCUGAUCCAGCCAUGCCGCGUGAGUGAAGAAGGGCCUUCGGGUUGUAAAAGCUCUUUCAGAACGGAAAGAAAACGCAUCGGUGAAUACCCGGUGUGGAUGACGGUACCGUAAGAAGAAGCACCGGCUAACUAACGUGCCCAGCAGCCCGCGGUAAAAUCACGUGUACUAC